GACGAACGCUGGCGGCGUGCUUAACACAUGCAAGUCGAACGGAAAGGCCCUGCUUGCAGGGUACUCGAGUGGCGAACGGGUGAGUAACACGUGGGUGAUCUGCCCUGCACUUCGGGAUAAGCCUGGGAAACUGGGUCUAAUACCGGAUAGGAGCCAUUUUUAGUGUGAUGGUUGGAAAGUUUUUUCGGUGUAGGAUGAGCUCGCGGCCUAUCAGCUUGUUGGUGGGGUAAUGGCCUACCAAGGCGGCGACGGGUAGCCGGCCUGAGAGGGUGGACGGCCACAUUGGGACUGAGAGACGGCCCAGACUCCUACGGGAGGCAGAAGUGGGGAAUAUUGCACAAUGGGCGCAAGCCUGAUGCAGCGACGCCGCGUGGGGGAUGACGGCCUUCGGGUUGUAAACUCCUUUCGCUAGGGACGAAGCUUUUUGUGACGGUACCUAGAUAAGAAGCACCGGCUAACUACGUG
This 465-nucleotide ribosomal RNA is filed under the name uncultured bacterium. RNAcentral's name for it is "partial 16S ribosomal RNA". It matches the Rfam family "Bacterial small subunit ribosomal RNA", at positions 28 to 507 of the family's 1533-position model. The record is from RNAcentral.